RNAcentral lists this ribosomal RNA (253 nucleotides) under uncultured bacterium. RNAcentral's name for it is "partial 16S ribosomal RNA". It matches the Rfam family "Bacterial small subunit ribosomal RNA", at positions 524 to 776 of the family's 1533-position model. The record is from RNAcentral.
UACGUAGGGUGCAAGCGUUGUCCGGAUUUAUUGGGCGUAAAGAGCGUGUAGGCGGCCAAGUAAGUCUGCUGUGAAAACUCGAGGCUUAACCUCGAGCUGUCGGCGGAAACUAUUUGGCUAGAGUCCGGAAGAGGAGAAUGGAAUUCCCGGUGUAGCGGUGAAAUGCGCAGAUAUCGGGAAGAACACCCGUGGCGAAGGCGGUUCUCUGGGACGGUACUGACGCUGAGGAGCGAAAGCGUGGGGAGCGAACAGG